RNAcentral lists this long non-coding RNA (265 nucleotides) under Helicoverpa zea (corn earworm). Its description in RNAcentral is "uncharacterized LOC124632275". The record is from RNAcentral. Lineage: Eukaryota; Metazoa; Arthropoda; Insecta; Lepidoptera; Noctuidae.
CAUACAAGCCACCGCAACACUACUAAACACUUUUUAAGAACUGUAGAAGAGUUCAUGAAUCCAUUACAAUAUUCAUCAUUCAUUCAUUUUACAUUCGUUCACUCUGCUGCAGUGGCUCAGUGUUUUAUUUAGAAGAGAAAUAAAAGAUAAAUCAGAAGAGACGAGGAGACCGUGUGUAAUGUUCUGCAAAAUGGUAGUCAUUAUAGACAUCGAUAAGUUUUUGACUCGUGACGAUUUCAAGCUACUUGCAGAAGUGGAAUGGCCG